UGUCUGUAUAAGGUCCCACAGUUGACAGUGCACGUCAAGCCAUGAGGUCUAAGGAAUUGUCUGUAGACCUCCAAGACAUGGAACAGGUCUCUGUGGGUUUUUCUGUCCAUGCAUUCAGGCCAUUAAGAUGGCAGAGAAAUACGGAGAGUGUUUCCUACUCUCUCAUGUUCCAUGGACACAUUUUAUGUUGCGAACCAGCAUUCGGGAGAGGUAUAACAUAGAGGGAACCAUUUGCGAUGACUGGUGUGUGACUGCUUUCUGCGGACCAUGUGUUCAAUGCCAAAUGGUUCGUGAAGUCAAUAAGGAGAUUCCUAACUGACAGAGCCGGAAAGUGAAUGCUGACCCGCAAAGUGUUGUCUCUCGCACCUUGUUAUGAAAAUGUUAAUUAAAUUGUUGCAGUGAGGAGCCUCAAGUUUUUGUACAACAAACUUCUUAUGGUUACAUUAGGACUGCUGUCAUCUGAAGACUAUGCCUGCAAGUCAACAAACUUUUUAUGUUCCUCUGACUAUACAGCACUAUGUGAGCACAACCCUUUAUCCAAAUCCUCAGCAGUAAGAAAAAACAAGACACAGUACCAUGUGACUGUCAGAUGUAUACAAUGUGCAAUAUAACUUACAGUAUUUUACUAUUUAUGAUAAGUCUGUUAUUACCAGAUUAUGGCUAAUUUAAAUGUAUUCAACUACCAGUUGUUUAUAUGAAAAGACAUUUGAAAUAAGUACUCCACAAGAAUAGUUCAGGAAUUAAAGUCUUGUUUUUUUAAACUUUUUGGAUUAUGUGUGAAUUGCUAGAUAUUACUGCACUGUUGGAGCUAGAAAUAUAAGCAUUUCGCUGCACCUGCGAUAACAUCUGCAGAUCUGUAUUACGCGACCAAUAAACUUUGAUUUGAAAGUCGGUCUUUGACCUAAUCAACAAGCACCAAGUUCAAUAAAAAUACUAACAAAGUUACAAAAUAUCCAGUUAACCACAAGUCAUUCCUGUGGCAGUAGGACUUUAGGACCAUUUCAAUUCAAAUGUUAUUCGUCAUAUGCUUCAUAAACAACAGGUGUAGACUAACACUGAAAUGCUUACAUACGGUCCCUUCCCAACAAUGCAGAGAGUAAAAAAUGUAUACAAAUAAUAAUGAGGACUAAAUACACAAUUAAAUGUUUUUGUUUUCACCUUUAUUUAACCAGGUAGGCCAGUUGAGAACAAGUUCUCAUUUACAACUGCGACCUGGCCAAGAUAAAGCAAAGCACUUUUUGUCUUACAACAGAGUUACAUAUGGGAUAAACAAACGUACAGUCAAAAACACAAUAGAAAAAAAAAUAUAUAUAUAGUGUGUGCAAAUGUAGUAAGAUUAGAGAGUAACGAAGACUUGGCUAUAUCCACGGUGUACCAGUACACUGAGCCAAGUUUUGAGAAAAUGUCCAACUGCAAUGCCUGGGCGACUAAACUGCAUUGGUGUAAACUACUUAAGUAAAAAUACUUUAUAAAGUAAUACUUAAGUAGUAUUUUGGUGUAUCUGUCCUUAAAUAUUUAUAUUUUUGACAACUUUUACUUCACUAUAUUCCUAAAGAAAACAUUGUACUUUUUACUCCAUACAUUUUCUCUGACAACCAGAAGUACUUACUACAUUUUGAAUGCAGCAGGACAGGAAAAUUGUGAAAUGCAUGCACUUAUCAAGAGAACACGUGUCAUCCCUACUGCCUCUGGUCUGGCUGACUCACUGAACACAAAUGCAUAUUUUGUAGAUAACAUCUUCUGUGUUGGAGUGUGCCCCAGGCUAUCCGUACGUUUUAAAAAACAAUAAAAUGGUGCCGUCUGCUUUGCUUCAUUUGAAUGAAUUUCUACUUUUACUUUAGAUACUUAAGUAUAUUUUAGCAAUUAGACUUACUUAAGUAUAUUUAAAACCAAAUACUUUUAGACUUUUACUCAAGUAGUAUUGUACUAGGUGACUUUUACUUGAGUAACUUUCUAUUAAGGUAUACUUUUACUCAAGUAUGACAAUUGGGUACUGUAAAUGACAUGAAGCCAAACCAAUUCUUCGCCUAAAUUAUUUAAAUACAGUCUAUUACUAACGUUAUAGUACAGUAUGUUCUUACCAGACUUCGGGUGUUACUGUGAAAAUAUCUUCAUCCUCAACUUUCAUUUCCUCCGCGUAUUUAAAACUUUCAAAAGAGUGAGUUUCUUUCGGACACAAAAG
Molecule: long non-coding RNA, 2182 nt
Organism: Oncorhynchus nerka (sockeye salmon)
Lineage: Eukaryota; Metazoa; Chordata; Actinopteri; Salmoniformes; Salmonidae
Exons: 3
Source: RefSeq, a predicted model, not a curated record